Molecule: ribosomal RNA, 460 nt
Filed under: uncultured bacterium
Lineage: Bacteria
Description: partial 16S ribosomal RNA
Rfam family: Bacterial small subunit ribosomal RNA
Source: RNAcentral
CCUACGGGGGGCUGCAGUGAGGAAUAUUGGUCAAUGGGCGCUAGCCUGAACCAGCCAAGUAGCGUGAAGGAUGACUGCCCUAUGGGUUGUAAACUUCUUUUAUAUGGGAAUAAAGUGCAGUAUGUAUACUGCUUUGCAUGUACCUUAUGAAUAAGGAUCGGCUAACUCCGUGCCAGCAGCCGCGGUAAUACGGAGGAUCCGAGCGUUAUCCGGAUUUAUUGGGUUUAAAGGGAGCGUAGGUGGGUUGUUAAGUCAGUUGUGAAAGUUUGCGGCUCAACCGUAAAAUUGCAGUUGAUACUGGCAGCCUUGAGUACAGUAGAGGUAGGCGGAAUUCGUGGUGUAGCGGUGAAAUGCUUAGAUAUCACGAAGAACUCCGAUUGCGAAGGCAGCCUGCUGAACUGUAACUGACGCUGAUGCUCGAAAGUGUGGGUAUCAAACAGGAUUAGAUACCCGUGUAGUC